UUGUUUUACAAAAGUGGAGUAUAAACCAAGCACUCUUGCAUUUGCUUUGCAAUAUUUGUUUUAUAUAACCCGGUUCCACGAGCAACUGUCCCGCAUCAUCUCAUCAUCUGUACCACGACCACUAGCAUUCUGAGCCAGAGCCCCCUCCCGUCUCCGCCGCCGGAGCACCCUGCCAGUGCCAUGGCCUCACCUCCGCGCGUCCUCCUCGGGCACAUCCUCCUCCUCGUCCCCCUCCUACCGCUCCUCGCCUGCGCCGGACUCGUCCUCGAGGACGGCUACACCGNNN
This 286-nucleotide long non-coding RNA is filed under the name Hordeum vulgare. RNAcentral describes it as "long non-coding RNA (HVUL_LNC003001)". Lineage: Eukaryota; Viridiplantae; Streptophyta; Magnoliopsida; Poales; Poaceae. The record is from RNAcentral.